This 1074-nucleotide long non-coding RNA is filed under the name Sus scrofa (pig). RNAcentral describes it as "lncRNA (ENSSSCG00050019935.1, ENSSSCG00055009716.1)". Lineage: Eukaryota; Metazoa; Chordata; Mammalia; Artiodactyla; Suidae. The record is from RNAcentral.
GGCACUAAGUGCCUAGGAAAAGUCGUGUGAAGGCGACAUCAGGAAGUAGAAGGGUGUGCUUACUGCGUGCAGCCAGCUAGCAUUUAAAGUCAGCUGAGGAGCUGGUAGGAACACAGUUCCAGUUGGUCCUCAGUUAUGUUUCCUAUCUGGUUUCUGCUCCUAGAGAUGUGGUGUUUGGAACUGGGAAAAAUAUGAAGAAAGACUGUUUUUAGGCGGGGAUCAGAUAUAUGCAGGCUUGUUUCACUCUAUAAAUGGCUCUGACAUCUAGCUCUGAGACCUGGGCGACUUAGUUCGGGAAAUUCGUGGGCCCUGGCUGUUCCACUCCGGCUUCCCAGGACCAGGCUCCGCCUGCAGAGAGAGAGCAGGAGGCGUGGACCUGGCCAGUGUGCAACUACAAGUGGAUGGUCUGAGAAUGCGGUGAGCAGCCGUGACGGAAGUGUAGGGAAAUGCGCACGCGCGGAGUGAGGGUGCCCAACAAGGAUCUCAAGAUCUUAAGGUGGGGUGUGCGCUGAGCGAUGGGAUUGGCCAAGACAAAGGAGAGAACUUAGAAGAGAAAAAAUGGGGCCCAGGACUGAGGGGCGGGGCCUGGACACCGUGGGAAGGAGCGUCAGCGACGGCAAACGCCGAGAGGGGCGUGGCCUAGGCCGAGCCAAGCGUGUGGCCAUCACUCUGCUGUUUGAAGGUCUUGCUGGAAUAGGAGAGAAGUCAGAAAUUUCUGGUGAAAGAAGCUGCUCCACACACUACCAUAAGCUAACCCUGCACAUCCGUCAGAGGGGUCUGUGUUCUCAGCCUGCACUGAAGACCUCAGUGCACCAUAAUUCACCCUGAUAAGGAACUACACUGUUCUUGAAUAUUUUGGAAAUGAAAACUUUUCAACUUUAUAAGGCUUUCCUACUUAGCUUAGAAAUUGUAAAUGCAAUACCAGGUCUGAAAUUCACAUAAAGACCAAAUGCAGCAAGGGCAUCAUUUCUGGGCCUGUACACACCUGCUCUGUUAGCCCUGGAGCAAGGUAAAACCCUCCACUCAGGGUUGAAACACAAUAAAUCUUGAGCAAAUUUUGACUGAAUAUGAAUA